The sequence is a transfer RNA, 88 nucleotides long. It matches the Rfam family "tRNA". From Rfam's summary of the family: Transfer RNA (tRNA) molecules are approximately 80 nucleotides in length. Their secondary structure includes four short double-helical elements and three loops (D, anti-codon, and T loops). The record is from Rfam.
GGGGAAGUACUCAAGUGGCUGAAGAGGCGCCCCUGCUAAGGGUGUAGAUGGGUCAAACCGUGCGAGAGUUCGAAUCUCUCCUUCUCCG